GCCGAGACCGAAAGGAAAUGCCUACGCGCGGGAUGUGGAGGCCAUAUUGAUAUUAAUAAUGCUGCUUCGAUGAAGCUUUGCCUCUCCCGCGCUCGCGUGCUUCCAGCCCCCUUCACCACCGCUCGCUCCCCCGCCGGCGCUCUCCACCAUCACCGCCAGUCAGUCUCCAGCCGGCGAUAUCUCCCAUGCCCCUCGGCUAGGGCGAGGAGGCUGCUCCGGAAGGAGAUGGGUCGGGGGAACUGUGACCCUAGGCAGCGAUUAUUUGGCGGGCUUUUUUUAACCUUCCUGACCCGUUCAUCCAUCCACAGUGAAUGGCAAUUUGGCGAGCGAGGGUCUUAAUCGAGGAGUCUCGAUUCUCUCAAGCUGCAUUAUCUAAGGGUUUUGGAUGUCGUUCCUUCCACUCUACCAUGGGGUUUGAAGGAAAUUGGCAAGAUUCAGUGUGGAUGCCAUUUGAGAGGAAAACUCAUCAUUUGACUUGAAAAGGCUUCCUUUGUUUAUCAUUCUCAUACAUUCACAAGUCAAUGGCUCCAUCAUUGAAUCUUGGAUAAGGAACAGUUGGUGUCAAGAUCCAUCAAAUGCAAUGCGAGGUUCAUUCAAAAGCCACUAACUGAAGAAGCUAUUGCAGCUGCAAGGCGCAUGUAUCUUGAGAAUUGGAAUUCAUUUUCUAUGUUACACUUUAUUACUGCUCUAUUUAAAAUUUAAUGCCAUUCCUACCUGCUUGAGCAGUGAUACUCUAUCUAGUCCAAAGCACUUGUUGCUUUUCACUUUGCACUGAUUUAGAGUUGACACUUGGCAGUUGGACAAGGUCAAUGGCAUGGUGGAUUUUAGGCUUUUAGCAAACAAUGGAGAUCUUCAUCCAACGGUAGUUUUAGGCAUUGUGUGGAACCAAGUGAAUCAGUGAAGAAAACGAAGCUACAGCAGUGUCACCGGAUAUGCAUUGGAGCUACAGCGGUGAAGGUGUGACCGGUUGGCUACAACGGUGGAAGGCGUCACCGCCAUAGAUUGGCGACCUAAAGAUCGUCAACGGUGACUUUUUAGGCCGUACAGUAUAUGGCAUAUUCAUAUACCGGCGACUAUAUCGGUGAUAUUAACUGAGAAAAUAUUCUGCUUGAUGAAGAAGGGUCGGCAGUACGGCCGUAGCCACUUAGAUGGAAUAUGAUCAGUAGCACCCGUUUAAGAUGCCAUAAGCAAAGGUGUCCAAGUCCCAUGUUUGAAGUCUUUGAUUUUUAUUGUGCUAGCAAGGGCUACAGCCGGACUUAAUUAAGAUGUUCAAGUUCAAGAUGUCCACAUUUAAUUUGAUACGCUGUGCUUUCUUAUUUAGUUCGGCAAAAAUAAGCUCUACCUCAGCUCGUUAAUAAUACUAAUAAAUUUUUGAAUGGAAAUUA
This is a long non-coding RNA of Nymphaea colorata (pocket water lily), 1385 nucleotides long. RefSeq lists it as uncharacterized. NCBI's taxonomy places the organism in Eukaryota, Viridiplantae, Streptophyta, Magnoliopsida, Nymphaeales, Nymphaeaceae. The transcript has 5 exons. The record is from RefSeq and is a predicted model, not a curated record.